GGGUGAGUAACGCGUAAGGAACUUGCCUCUUGGACUGGGACAACUGUUGGAAACGACAGCUAAUACCGGAUAUUAUGAGAUUCUCGCAUGAGAAACUUAUGAAAGCUAUAUGCGCCAAGAGAGAGCCUUGCGUUCCAUUAGCUAGUUGGUGGGGUAACGGCCCACCAAGGCGACGAUGGAUAGCCGGCCUGAGAGGGUGAACGGCCACAAGGGGACUGAGACACGGCCCUUACUCCUACGGGAGGCAGCAGUGGGGAAUAUUGGACAAUGGGCCACAAGCCUGAUCCAGCAAUUCUGUGUGCACGAUGAAGGUCUUCGGAUUGUAAAGUGCUUUCAGUUGGGAAGAAGAAAGUGACGGUACCAACAGAAGAAGCGACGGCUAAAUACGUGCCAGCAGCCGCGGUAAUACGUAUGUCGCAAGCGUUAUCCGGAUUUAUUGGGCGUAAAGCGCGUCUAGGCGGAAAAAUAAGUCUGAUGUUAAAAUGCGGGGCUCAACUCCGUAUUGCGUUGGAAACUGUUUUUCUAGAGUACUGGAGAGGUGGGCGGAACUACAAGUGUAGAGGUGAAAUUCGUAGAUAUUUGUAGGAAUGCCGAUGGAGAAGUCAGCUCACUGGACAGAUACUGACGCUGAAGCGCGAAAGCGUGGGGAGCAAACAGGA
RNAcentral lists this ribosomal RNA (659 nucleotides) under uncultured bacterium. Its description in RNAcentral is "bacterial SSU rRNA". It matches the Rfam family "Bacterial small subunit ribosomal RNA", at positions 104 to 777 of the family's 1533-position model. The record is from RNAcentral.